UUGAUAGUUGAUCCUGCCAAUAGUCCUAUGCUUGUCUCAGACUGUGAAACUGCGAAUAGCUCAUUAAAUCAAUUAUAGUUUGUUUGAUGAUAUUUGCUAUUCGGAUAAUCGUAGUAAUUCUAGGGCUAAUAUGUGCAACAAACCCUCGACUUUUGAAAGGGAUGCAUUUAUUAGAUAAAAGAUCGAUACAAGUUUUGCCUAUUGCUCUGGUGAUUCAUGAUAACUUGAUAGAUCGCACAGCCAUUGUGCCAGUGACACAUCAUUCAAAUUUUUGCCCUAUCAUGGUAGGAUAGUGGCCUACUAUGGUGGUGAUGGUGACGGAGAAUUAGGGUUCAAUUUCGGAGAUUGAGCUUAAGAAACAGCUACCACAUCCAAGGAAUGCAGCAAACACGCAAAUUACCAAAUCCUAACACGGGAGGUAGUGACAAUAAAUAACACUAUCAGGCUCUUUGAGUAUGGUAAUUGGAAUGAGUACAAUCUAAAUCCCUUAACGAGGAUCCAUUGGAGGGCAAGUCUGGUACCAGCAACUGCAAUAAUUUUAGCUCCAAUAGUGUAUAUUUAAGUUGUUGCGAUUAAAAAGCUCGUAGUUGGACCUUGGGUUGGGUCAACUAGUCCGCAUCACGGUGUGCACCAAUUGGCUCAUCCCUUCUAUCGAUGAUACGCUCCUGGCCUUAAUUGGCUGGGUCGUGCCUACUAUGCUAUUACUUUGAAUAAAUUGGAGUGCUCAAAGCAAGCCUAUGCUUUGUAUACAUUAUCAUGGGAUAACAUCAUAGGAUUCCAAUUCCACCGUGUUGGCCUUUGGAUCAAAGUAAUGAUUAACAGGAACAGUUAGGGGCAUUCGUAUUUCAUAAUUAGAGGUGAAAUUCUUGGAUUUAUGAAAGACGAACAACUAUCAAAUCACCACCGACUGCGGUGGCUACACUGGAUAAGGCUCUACUGAUCCUCAACGAAGAGGUGAAGGGUUUAAAAUCCAGAGGAGGCGCUAGGUGUAUUAAGUGUGACUCAGGGGUGGUGGGUCCUCCUGCUUAAGUGUCACCUGAGGGUUUACGGCGCGGCUGUCGGCUACAAGCCGGUUCCUCCAGCACCAAAAAAAAAAAAAAAAAAAACAACUAUCAAAUCAACCACCGGCCGCGGUGGCUCCACUGGUUAAGGCUCUGUUGAUCCUCAACGAAGAUGUGAAGGGUUCAAAACCUAUGGGAGGCGCUAGGUGUAUUAAGUGUGACUUAGGGGUGGUGGGUCCUCCUGCUUAAGUGUCACCUGGGGGUUUACGGCGAUGCUGUCGGCUGCAAGUUGGUUCCUCUAGCACAAAAAAACAAAAAAAACAACUAUUAAAUCUUACCACCGGCUGCAGUGGCUCCACUGGAUAAGGCUCUGCUGAUCCUCAACAAAGAGGUGAAGGGUUCAAAACCCAAAUGAGGCGCUAGGUGUAUUAAGUGUGACUCAGGGGUGGUGGGUCCUCGUGCUUAAGUGUCACCUGGGGGUUUACGGCGCGGCUGUCGGCUGCAAGCCGGUUUCUCCAGCACCAAAAAAAAAAAAAAAACAACAACUAUCAAAUCAACCACCGGUUGUGGUGGCUCUACUGGAUAAGGCUCUGCCGAUCCUUAACGAAAUGGUGAAGGGUUCAAAACUCAGGGGAGGCGCUAGGUGUAUUAAGUGUGACUCAGGAGUGGUGGGUCCUCCUGCUUAAGUGUCACCUGGGGGUUUACAGCAUGGCUGUCGGCUGCAAGCCGAUUCCUCCAGUACCAAAAAAAAAAAAAAAACAACUAUCAAAUCAUACCACCCGCCGCGGUGGCUCCGUUGGGUAGGCUCCAGACUUCCAUGUAGGGGGUCUGGAGUUCGAAGCCCUUGCAACGCAAGUUGCAAGGAGGCUAACGGAUCAUUUGGCGACUUACCCGGGGUGUGUGGGUGGUGGUUUCCUACGUGCCUCCUCAGGGUUUACUUCCCAGCUGUCGGCUAUGCGGGGGUUCCCUAGGUCACCAAAAAAAAAAAAAACAACUAUCAAAUCAUUACCACCGGCUGCGGUGGCUCUGCUGGAUAAGGCCUUACUAAUCCUCAGCCUAGAGGUGAAGGGUUCAAAACCCAGGGGAGGCGCUAGGUGUAUUAAGUGUGACUCAGGGGUGGUGGGUUCUCCUGCUUAAGUGUCACCUGGGGGUUUACGGCGCGGCUGUCGGCUACAAUCCGAUUCCUCCCACACCAAAAAAAAAAAAAAAAAAAAAACAACUAUCAAAUCAUUUGCCAUGAAUAUUUUCAUUAAUCAAGAACGAAAGUUGGGGGCUCGAAAAUGAUCAAAUAUUGUUUUAGUCUCAACCAUAAACGAUGUCAACUAAGGAUCGGCGGAUGUUGCUUUUAGGACUCCGCUAGCACCUUAUGAGAAAUCAAAAUUCUUGGGUUCCGGAAGGAGUGUGGUCCCAGGGCUGAAACUUAAAGAAAUUAAAAUAGAAUUAAGAUUGAACCUAAAGUAGGAGUUUUUUUUUUAUGGGAUAAAAA
Eucalyptus grandis is the source of this 2487-nucleotide non-coding RNA. The record is from Rfam. NCBI's taxonomy places the organism in Eukaryota, Viridiplantae, Streptophyta, Magnoliopsida, Myrtales, Myrtaceae.